This 426-nucleotide ribosomal RNA is filed under the name uncultured bacterium. RNAcentral describes it as "bacterial SSU rRNA". It matches the Rfam family "Bacterial small subunit ribosomal RNA", at positions 917 to 1344 of the family's 1533-position model. The record is from RNAcentral.
GGACCCGCACAAGCGGUGGAGUAUGUGGUUUAAUUCGAUGCAACGCGAAGAACCUUACCAGGGUUUGACAUCCUGCGAAUUUCUGGGAAACCGGAAAGUGCCUUCGGGAGCGCAGUGACAGGUGGUGCAUGGCUGUCGUCAGCUCGUGUCGUGAGAUGUUGGGUUAAGUCCCGCAACGAGCGCAACCCACGUCUUUAGUUGCCAGCAUUUAGUUGGGCACUCUAGAGAGACCGCCGGUGAUAAACCGGAGGAAGGUGUGGAUGACGUCAAGUCAUCAUGCCCCUUACAUCCUGGGCUACACACGUACUACAAUGGCAAGUACAACGAGUCGCAAUACCGCGAGGUGGAGCAAAUCUCUUAAAGCUUGUCUCAGUUCGGAUAGGAGUCUGCAACUCGACUCCUUGAAGUUGGAGUCGCUAGUAAUCG